RNAcentral lists this ribosomal RNA (464 nucleotides) under uncultured bacterium. RNAcentral's name for it is "partial 16S ribosomal RNA". It matches the Rfam family "Bacterial small subunit ribosomal RNA", at positions 28 to 507 of the family's 1533-position model. The record is from RNAcentral.
GACGAACGCUGGCGGCGUGCUUAACACAUGCAAGUCGAACGGAAAGUCCCAGCUUGCUGGGUGCUCGAGUGGCGAACGGGUGAGUAACACGUGGGUGAUCUGCCCCUCACUUCGGGAUAAGCUUGGGCAACUGGGUCUAAUACCGGAUAGGACAAUCGUUUAGUGUCGGUUGUGGAAAGUUUUUUCGGUUAGGGAUGAGCCCGCGGCCUAUCAGCUUGUUGGUGGGGUAAUGGCCUACCAAGGCGUCGACGGGUAGCCGGCCUGAGAGGGUGGACGGCCACAUUGGGACUGAGAUACGGCCCAGACUCCUACGGGAGGCAGCAGUGGGGAAUAUUGCACAAUGGGCGCAAGCCUGAUGCAGCGACGGCGCGUGGGGGAUGACGGCCUUCGGGUUGUAAACCUCUUUCGACAGGGAAGAAGCUUUGGUGACGGUACCUGAAUAAGAAGCACCGGCUAACUACGUG